Fukomys damarensis (Damara mole-rat) is the source of this 313-nucleotide unclassified non-coding RNA. Its record names the gene 7SK. It matches the Rfam family "7SK RNA". Rfam says of the family: 7SK was discovered as an abundant small nuclear RNA in the mid-70s but a possible function has only recently been suggested. NCBI's taxonomy places the organism in Eukaryota, Metazoa, Chordata, Mammalia, Rodentia, Bathyergidae. The record is from Ensembl.
GGGUGUCAGGGCAAUCUGGCUAUGACGCCCGUCACACCUGUCAGCCCAUCGGUCACCAGGGCCGAUGCCACUGAUCGGGCUGGCUAGAUCCCCUUCAGUCCUCGUAGCUCCACUGUGUCCUUCCCAGAGCCACUCCCUUGGCUGAAGAGGACAUUUCCCCAUGGAGGAGGACCACUGUUUGGUUAGGUGUACAAGAGUACCUGCACUCCCCUCCUAGAACCCCCAAGUGAGUUCCCAAGCUCCCAAGUGAGGAAGUGAGACAUGUGUCUAAAACUUUGGAGUUGAGAAUUAAGCAAGAACAAUUUCAUUUCUU